GUAUCCUUGUAACGCAAUGGAUAGCGUGUUGGACUUCUAAUCUAAAGGUCGUGGGCUUUGAAUGCCACCUGGUAUG
Non-coding RNA from Trichonephila inaurata madagascariensis, 76 nucleotides. The record is from the annotation of a GenBank genome assembly. Lineage: Eukaryota; Metazoa; Arthropoda; Arachnida; Araneae; Nephilidae.